UUCUGGUCCUCCGUCGCUUCACACUUGCAGAAGGCGAUUUCUCAACUGGCCGAACUGGUGUCCUGGUCGGUGAUGACACCAGAAAGACCGAUGAGAUCUGGAUGACCGGAGGUGGCCGUUACCCGCCGGACCUUCAGAGGAGAGACGGUCCAGACUGCAACGUGACACAACAUGGCGACAGUGAUAAAGACGCCUGAAAUAUUGCAUAUCUGCUAGUGAGAAGGCUCAAAACUAAUGAUUUGAGAUUUAUUUGUGAAGUAUGACUGCACACAGCUCUUUUGGAUGACAGAUCAUGCUUAUGCUCUGACUGCAGCAGUUUUCAGAUAAGAUACUAUGUUGUAUCAGCAUUGUUGUUUAAGAUGGAAAGUCAAAAUGAGCAUUGUAAUGUAAAUUGUCAAAUUAAACUAAGCAACAAUU
Molecule: long non-coding RNA, 417 nt
Organism: Gymnodraco acuticeps
Lineage: Eukaryota; Metazoa; Chordata; Actinopteri; Perciformes; Bathydraconidae
Exons: 2
Source: RefSeq, a predicted model, not a curated record